RNAcentral lists this long non-coding RNA (3491 nucleotides) under Lupinus angustifolius (narrow-leaved blue lupine). Its description in RNAcentral is "long non-coding RNA (LANG_LNC002681)". Lineage: Eukaryota; Viridiplantae; Streptophyta; Magnoliopsida; Fabales; Fabaceae. The record is from RNAcentral.
CCGCCUUAUAUACAAAUUACUUAUAUAAACUAGCUAGAGAUUACCACAUAAGGGAUUUUGAAACAUCGUAGCAACUGGAACUGACCUUCACAAGAGGGGGUCCUGCUAAGAAAAUGGUUCCAUUUCCCUUUACCAUUACACUUUCAUCAGCCAUAGCAGGUAUAUAGGCGCCACCAGCCGUGCAAGAACCAAGCACCAAUGCAAUUUGUGGGAUUCCUUCGGAAGACAUUACAGCCUGAUUAUAGAAUAUUCGACCAAAAUUUUCUCUGUCUGGAAAGACAUCAGCCUGCUUCGGAAGGAAAGCACCUCCACUAUCAACAAGAUAUAUACAGGGCAAUUUGCAUUGAGCAGCAAUCUCCUGUGCCCUGAGAUGUUUCUUGACAGUAACGGGAUAAUAAGUCCCUCCCUUAACAGUUGGGUCAUUGGCCACAAACAUACAAAGCCUACCAUGCACCGGACCUAUCCCAGUAACAACCCCAGCAGAAAACAAUGGUUCUUCAUACAAGUCAUGUCCUGCAAGCUUUAUCACUUAAAACCCGUAAGACUCCAUGGAAUAUGCAUUAUGAAGCAGUAUCAAAAACAAAUCAUUCCCCAUUCCCAAUCCUUACCAUUUAAUUGCAAUUAUUUUUGCUGUUACUUUUUCUUCGAAUAUCAAUCACUCAAAUUCAUAAUAAACAUUCCCAAAUUAUUAAAAAUUAUAAAAUGAUCAACAACCAAUGAAAUACUUGAUGGAGACCAUACUUUGAAAACGAAAACAAAAUCAGUGCCAGAAUAUUGGCCAGAAUCAAGGAUCGAGUUCAGGUAUAUAUUAUAGAAGAAAACUUGUAAGCUGUAAAAGUGAUAAAUAGGAUUUAUCAUUUUUCAUGUUUUCAGUUGAACUGCUGAACAUAAAUCAAUGAAAAAAUCACACCGAUCUCCCUUGAAAUUUGACUUAAUUACACUCAGCCUCGUGUCCAAAAGCUACACAUAGCAUAAUUUCAAUUAUCACCUCUCAUAAAACAUAAGCAUAAUUAUAACAUAAAUUGCAUACUUCAAGUAUAAAUCUUUUUUCUAAAACAACCCACAAGUAAUGAACUUUACAGAAACCCAAUUCAGCAUUGAAGUAAAUGCAAUGAAUCAUUCACCUGUGAGAGCUCAAGAAACGAAGAACCAGGAUCAAUGAUACGAUCAAUUCGUUCUCUGGGUAGAAGCUUGUUCCUGCUCUUAUUCCUCUUCACUGCCUCAACUCCUCCACCAGCAAGAACCUUUUUCACAUGAGAUUUGAGUUCAGAAAUUAAAUGAUUCAUAGUGUUAGAGUUGGCAUGAAACACCUCUGAGUUUCUAUCAAGAGAAUCAGAAAGUACUCCUAAGCAGAAACCCCUUCUUGUGGAACAUGUUUCCAACAAAUUGGAACAAACCCAAUUUGAUUUUCUUCUUCCAAUUAAGCCAAGCAUGUUUUUUUUCUUCUUCUCAAAUUUAGUUCUGUUGUAUAAGAAUAAUGUUAGAUGUAUCCAGUGUAAUAAUGUCAAUAAUGAUGGGUUGGAGACCCUAUCCUAUGAACAUUGAUUAAUGCAUUGGAUAAACUUGCCACGUUUUUUUUUUGUUUUCAUAUGCGAAUACAUAAAUAGAAAUAUGCUUUUUUUUUUAGGUUUUCUUUUCUCAUCUUAUCAAAUUAUUGUCUACCAUCUGUCUGUUUUUUUUAUACAUCUGUUUGGGGGAAAGGUAGUGAAAAUGAUUUCGCGGUUAAGUUUUAAUUGUUUAAAUUUGAUACUGAAUUUCUUGUAUUUUGAUGUUUGGAUCAGGUUCCACAAUAAUAAAGUUGUCUUUUACUUUUAUUUGUAUUUUAAUAGAACAAUUCAGACUUUUCAUGUUAUUCCGAUUUUAAUCAAAUUUAAUAGUUAAAAUUUAUUUGGUUUAAAGUUAUCUAAUCGAGAUGACAAACUAAAGUUAUUUUUAAGUUGGUAAAACAAUGGGGCCACCUGGUCAUAUCCUAUCCUCACAACAUUCAAACAUAGCCAUUAUUGCUAUGUUAAUGUUAUUCUAAGUACAAAUGGUCGUGACCCAUGGAAGCUAGAAACUCGUCUCAAUACAAGCAUAUUAAAGCUUUUUGCUUAUUGUUAUGCGUGUCAGCUAUGUUUGGAUUGGUAGAAACGGAGCAGAUUGGAACGAAGUGGUGUUAGGUAGGGGAUGUAAAUAUCCUAUACCUAUUGGUAUUAUUGGUGGUAUAUUAAGUCAAUCAAAAUAUAUUAUUUAAUUAAAAAAAUUAUUUCUAAAAAAUAUAAAUUAAUAUUUUAUAUUAUUUUGAUAAAUGUUAUUGGUUAAUGGUUAGAGACAUAGUCUUCUUAAGACAAGAGAAUCAUUUUCGCUAGGUAGGUUCCAUUGAUUGGAUGUUCCAUUACAUUUCUAUCUAAUACAUUGUUCAUUCAACUUAUUACAUAUUCCAUUCCUGGUUAUUGCAACAUAAAAUAUCAAAAUUCUAUUCCACUUUAUUCUAUUCAGCCGUGAACUUUUAUUUUUUCCAUAACCAUAAACCUGCAUAAGUGCAAAUUGAUUCAAGUAAAAUUAUAUAAAUAAAUAAAAGGACGGCAUAGUAGACGAGAUUUCCAACUUUACCGAACAAUGUCAUAAUGCUCUAUCAUAGCAUGAAAAAAUGGGUACCAGAAAACUAAAAAGACAAGUGAAUAUGUCCUCACAGUGCCAUACAAUUUCUUGAAUUCAUCAAAUUCACUUCCAUCAACAAUGCGAGCAAUAACUGAUCGGAUAUCAAACUGCUGCUUAAGAUCACUAGGAGCAAUAGAACGAAGUUCAUUUGCAUCAUAUAAUGGCUCUUUAAAGUCAUAAUUUAUAUUUUGCAAUCUAUUUGUGAAGUCAUCUUUCCCAGCCACAUGCAAAUUCUUAAUGAUGUUCCUCCCGAGAGCAAGUCCAUGUAGUUCAUCUGCAAGAAACAAAACAUGCACAAUAUCAUUAAUAGAAAGAAGUUGAUUUUGUUAGUUAUCACAUUUUCUAUAUACUCCAUGUGUGAGAGAGAAAGUAUCCAUAGUAAAUACCUUGAGCAAAAUAGUCUGAAACACCUGAUGUCUUGCAGUGAACAGUAGCACCCCCCAGAUCCUCUGCAGAGAUUUCUUCGCCAGUCGCAGCCUAUAAAAUCAUUUAAUAAAGGUUAACUUUGGUCAUAAAGAUGGAGAAAAUACAUUAACACAAACAGAGACACUAUUGGAAAAAUUUAGAAGAUUCAGACUCCACUAAGUGAGAAUCUCAUGCACUGCGCCGCCUUAUAUACAAAUUACUUAUAUAAACUAGCUAGAGAUUACCACAUAAGGGAUUUUGAAACAUCGUAGCAACUGGAACUGACCUUCACAAGAGGGGGUCCUGCUAAGAAAAUGGUUCCAUUUCCCUUUACCAUUACACUUUCAUCAGCCAUAGCAGGUAUAUAGGCGCCACCAGCCGUGCAAGAACCAAGCACCAAUGCAAUUUGUGGGAUUCCUUCGGAAGACAUUACAGCCUGAUUAUAG